GAGCUUGCUCCUCUGACGUUAGCGGCGGACGGGUGAGUAACACGUGGAUAACCUACCUAUAAGACUGGGAUAACUUCGGGAAACCGGAGCUAAUACCGGAUAAUAUAUUGAACCGCAUGGUUCAAUAGUGAAAGACGGUUUUGCUGUCACUUAUAGAUGGAUCCGCGCCGCAUUAGCUAGUUGGUAAGGUAACGGCUUACCAAGGCAACGAUGCGUAGCCGACCUGAGAGGGUGAUCGGCCACACUGGAACUGAGACACGGUCCAGACUCCUACGGGAGGCAGCAGUAGGGAAUCUUCCGCAAUGGGCGAAAGCCUGACGGAGCAACGCCGCGUGAGUGAUGAAGGUCUUCGGAUCAUAAAACUCUGUUAUUAGGGAAAAACAAAUGUGUAAGUAACUAUGCACGUCUUGACGGUACCUAAUCAGAAAGCCACGGCUAACUACGUGCCAGCAGCCGCGGUAAUACGUAGGUGGCAAGCGUUAUCCGGAAUUAUUGGGCGUAAAGCGCGCGUAGGCGGUUUUUUAAGUCUGAUGUGAAAGCCCACGGCUCAACCGUGGAGGGUCAUUGGAAACUGGAAAACUUGAGUGCAGAAGAGGAAAGUGGAAUUCCAUGUGUAGCGGUGAAAUGCGCAGAGAUAUGGAGGAACACCAGUGGCGAAGGCGACUUUCUGGUCUGUAACUGACGCUGAUGUGCGGAAGCGUGGGG
This 705-nucleotide ribosomal RNA is filed under the name uncultured Staphylococcus sp. Its description in RNAcentral is "bacterial SSU rRNA". It matches the Rfam family "Bacterial small subunit ribosomal RNA", at positions 76 to 766 of the family's 1533-position model. Lineage: Bacteria; Bacillati; Bacillota; Bacilli; Caryophanales; Staphylococcaceae. The record is from RNAcentral.